This 440-nucleotide ribosomal RNA is filed under the name uncultured bacterium. Its description in RNAcentral is "partial 16S ribosomal RNA". It matches the Rfam family "Bacterial small subunit ribosomal RNA", at positions 338 to 795 of the family's 1533-position model. The record is from RNAcentral.
CCUACGGGAGGCUGCAGUAGGGAAUAUUGCUCAAUGGGGGAAACCCUGAAGCAGCAACGCCGCGUGGAGGAUGAAGGUUUUAGGAUUGUAAACUCCUUUUGUGAGAGAAGAUAAUGACGGUAUCUCACGAAUAAGCACCGGCUAACUCCGUGCCAGCAGCGGCGGUAAUACGGGGGGUGCAAGCGUUGUCCGGAAUCAUUGGGCGUAAAGAGGUCGUAGGCGGCACGUAAAGUCUGGUGUUAAAGGCAGAGGCUCAACCUCUGUACGGCAGUGGAUACUGGCGAGCUAGAAUGCGGUAGAGGUAAAGGGAAUUCCUGGUGUAGCGGUGAAAUGCUUAGAUAUCAGGAGGAACGUCGAUGGCGUAAGCGCUUUACUGGACCGUAAUUGACGCUGAGGAACGAAAGCGAGGGUAGCAAAUGGGAUUAGAUACCCGUGUAGUC